ACUCCUACGGGAGGCAGCAGUAAGGAAUAUUGCGCAAUGGACGAAAGUCUGACGCAGCGACGCCGCGUGGGGGAUGAAGGUUUUCGGAUUGUAAACCCCUUUCGGCAGGGAAGAUGGAACGGGUAACCGUUCGGACGGUACCUGCAGAAGCAGCCACGGCUAACUUCGUGCCAGCAGCCGCGGUAAUACGAAGGUGGCAAGCGUUGUUCGGAUUUACUGGGCGUACAGGGAGCGUAGGCGGUUGGGUAAGCCCUCCGUGAAAUCUCCGGGCCUAACCCGGAAAGUGCGGAGGGGACUGCUCGGCUAGAGGAUGGGAGAGGAGCGCGGAAUUCCCG
RNAcentral lists this ribosomal RNA (335 nucleotides) under uncultured bacterium. RNAcentral's name for it is "bacterial SSU rRNA". It matches the Rfam family "Bacterial small subunit ribosomal RNA", at positions 335 to 672 of the family's 1533-position model. The record is from RNAcentral.